GAUGAACGCUGGCGGCGUGCCUAAUACAUGCAAGUCGAGCGAACAGAUAAGGAGCUUGCUCCUUUGACGUUAGCGGCGGACGGGUGAGUAACACGUGGGUAACCUACCUAUAAGACUGGAAUAACUCCGGGAAACCGGGGCUAAUGCCAGAUAACAUUUAGAACCGCAUGGUUCUAAAGUGAAAGAUGGUUUUGCUAUCACUUAUAGAUGGACCCGCGCCGUAUUAGCUAGUUGGUAAGGUAACGGCUUACCAAGGCAACGAUACGUAGCCGACCUGAGAGGGUGAUCGGCCACACUGGAACUGAGACACGGUCCAGACUCCUACGGGAGGCAGCAGUAGGGAAUCUUCCGCAAUGGGCGAAAGCCUGACGGAGCAACGCCGCGUGAGUGAUGAAGGUCUUCGGAUCGUAAAACUCUGUUAUUAGGGAAGAACAAAUGUGUAAGUAACUGUGCACGUCUUGACGGUACCUAAUCAGAAAGCCACGGCUAACUACGUG
RNAcentral lists this ribosomal RNA (497 nucleotides) under uncultured bacterium. RNAcentral describes it as "partial 16S ribosomal RNA". It matches the Rfam family "Bacterial small subunit ribosomal RNA", at positions 28 to 507 of the family's 1533-position model. The record is from RNAcentral.